Molecule: ribosomal RNA, 292 nt
Filed under: uncultured bacterium
Lineage: Bacteria
Description: partial 16S ribosomal RNA
Rfam family: Bacterial small subunit ribosomal RNA
Source: RNAcentral
GUGUCAGCAGCCGCGGUAAGACAGAGGGUGCAAGCGUUAAUCGGAGUUACUGGGCGUAAAGGGCGCGUAGGCGGUUUUGUAAGUGAGAUGUGAAAGCCCUGGGCUUAACCUAGGAAUAGCAUUUUAGACUAUGAGACUGGAGUACAGUAGAGGGUGGUGGAAUUUCCGGUGUAGCGGUGAAAUGCGUAGAGAUCGGAAGGAACAUCAGUGGCGAAGGCGGCCACCUGGACUGACACUGACGCUGAGGCGCGAGAGCGUGGGGAGCAAACAGGAUUAGAAACCCCCGUAGUCC